GAUGAACGCUAGCGGCAGGCCUAAUACAUGCAAGUCGAACGGAAUAUAGUUUUCGGAUUAUAUUUAGUGGCGCACGGGUGAGUAACACGUACAUAACUUACCCUCAAGAGGGGGAUAGCCUUGGGAAACUGAGCGUAAUACCCCAUAGUAUUAUUGAACGGCAUCGUUUGAUAAUUAAAGCUACGGCGCUUGAGGAUAGAUGUGCGUCUGAUUAGCUAGUUGGUAAGGUAACGGCUUACCAAGGCGACGAUCAGUAGGGGGCGUGAGAGCGUGGCCCCCCACACGGGUACUGAGACACGGACCCGACUCCUACGGGAGGCAGCAGUAAGGAAUAUUGGUCAAUGCCCGGAAGGGUGAACCAGCCAUGCCGCGUGAAGGAUGACUGCCCUCUGGGUUGUAAAACUUCUUUUGGAUGGGACGAAAAAACGGGAUUUAUCCUGGACUGACGGUACCAUCAGAAUAAGCACCGGCUAACUCCGUG
This 481-nucleotide ribosomal RNA is filed under the name uncultured bacterium. RNAcentral's name for it is "bacterial SSU rRNA". It matches the Rfam family "Bacterial small subunit ribosomal RNA", at positions 28 to 507 of the family's 1533-position model. The record is from RNAcentral.